AGUAUCAUUAAGUGAAUACAUAGCUUAAUGAGGGGAACUCAGGGAACUGAAACAUCUAAGUACCUGAAGGAAGAGAAAGAAAUUCGAUUCCGUAAGUAGCGGCGAGCGAACGCGGAUUAGCCCAAACCAAUAAAGUUUUCUUUAUUGGGGUUGCGGACAUAUCAUAACGAAGAGGUAUCGUAAUUGAAGAGGUUUGGAAAGACCCACCACAGAAGGUAAUAGUCCUGUAUGUUAAACGAGAAGACUUUAGAUAUGAUCCAGAGUACCACGGGACACGUGAAACCCUGUGGGAAGCAGGAGGGACCACCCUCCAAGGCUAAAUACUACCUAGUGACCGAUAGCGUAUAGUACCGUGAGGGAAAGGUGAAAAGAACCCCGGGAGGGGAGUGAAAUAGAACCUGAAACCCUGCACUUACAAGCUGUGGAAGCACAUUUCUUGUGUGACCGCGUACUUUUUGUAGAACGGGCCAACGAGUUACGUUAAGUAGCAAGGUUAAGCACUUAAGGUGCGGAGCCGUAGCGAAAGCGAGUUUUAACUGAGCGGUCAGUUACUUGACGUAGACCCGAAACCGGGCGACCUACCCAUGAGCAGGAUGAAGCGAAAGUAAAAUUUCG
This 615-nucleotide ribosomal RNA is filed under the name Clostridioides difficile. RNAcentral describes it as "bacterial LSU rRNA". It matches the Rfam family "Bacterial large subunit ribosomal RNA", at positions 147 to 766 of the family's 2925-position model. Lineage: Bacteria; Bacillati; Bacillota; Clostridia; Peptostreptococcales; Peptostreptococcaceae. The record is from RNAcentral.